Molecule: long non-coding RNA, 592 nt
Filed under: Citrus maxima (pomelo)
Lineage: Eukaryota; Viridiplantae; Streptophyta; Magnoliopsida; Sapindales; Rutaceae
Description: long non-coding RNA (CMAX_LNC001320)
Source: RNAcentral
UCAUGUUCUCUGGGUGCAUACUAGACAAAUGGGUGUCAUGUGUUGUUUUGGCAUAACACAUAAACACUCAUAUAUCUAUGUCGUGUACUUGAAGAACUAUAGGGAGAUGCUUCCGAAGUUUCUAUAAACGUAGAGGAAAACUUUAGAUACUUAAGAUUGAAGAAACUUAUGCAUUCUUGAGUGGGAUAUAUAGGACCACUUACCUUUUGUAAAUAUGAAGGGAAUGUUGGAUAUAUUGAUGGGAGUGGAGGAGCUGAGUGGGAUGAAUGUAAUCGGUUAUGAUUUUGCUGAGUUGACUUGGUUUUGAGUCUUGUAAUUUUGUUUAUAAAUGGAGUACUAUCUCCAAUGUUGGUUUAUAAAUAUGUUUCAGCUGGCUGACCUAAUUUUUUGUUUCUAGGUAACAGGCUUUAUAUAUCUGUAAUUGAUAGCCAAGUGAAGUUCUCAGCAGUGGGUGAGGAUAUUUCUUUACAGAAGGUAUUGCAAACUGUUUUUUAGAUUAAUUAUUAUUGUAUAUAUACUUUAAUUUUCACAUCUUUUUCUCUGAUUCUUGUGGCUUUGCUUGCUUCCAUAUAUAUAAAACCAUAAAAUUGUA